UUGUCGGUACAAACCCUAGUGCCAAACUGUGAAGACACUAGUAAUUUUUUAGAAAUAAUCAAUUUAAAUUAAUUAAGUAAAUAGCUGCAAUAUAAUUAUUGUAGCAAAAAUGAAAUGAAUAUGAAUAUCUCCUGUAAAUAAAAUUGCAAAAUACUAACAUAGUUUAGUUUCACAUGAAGGUAAAUCGUGAAUUUCAACAACCAUGGAGCAAAAAUGAAAUGAAUAUGAGUACCUCCUGGCAAAUGCCAUGAAAACUUCCAAAUACUGGCAUAGGUAGUAAUUUCCAGAUGGACGUAAAUCCUCACAUUAAAUACAUUGUGAUACCACUACUGCACUAAAUUGUAAGUAGCUAUAGAUUCUGUAAAUUCAGAAACUCUUUAUGUGCCUUGUUGGCAAUAUAUCUUAAAAAUUGUAUUUUAUAACAUAAAAACCCACGUUUGUUAGCCUUCUUGGCACUUUUUCUACAAUCAAUUAGGAAGAGAUAAUAAUGGACUCAGUAGCAACAUCGUCUUUCAAUCUCUGCGUUAUCUACGAUUAAAUUCACCAACUGAAGAGAGGAAAUUGUGGCGCUUCGAAAGCCAAUCUACGUCUCAAGUCUAAGUUUCUUCAAAAUCCAUAAGAAGAGCUAGUGCAUCUCAACUCUCCUUUUCCAAUAUCAUGAAUAAGGACGAAAGCAACGUAGAUCUAUCAGUAGUUCUCUUUAUAGAAGAGGAUGAUGCUCCGGCUGUUGUUGCAUCUAGCUGGCUGAGAUUUCGAGACAAAAUGUGUUAUUGGCCAUCUCACAUUAAAUCUGAGUGUAAAAGAGAAAAGCUGGUCCAUUCCUCCGCUGUCCCAGACCCUGAACAAGGUUGGGAGCUUUGCGCAGUGAGGGUCCUUCAGAAAGGAAUCAAGGAUCCGUUGAUUGCUCGGACCAAGGCGAAAUUGGCAGAAACAACCUCAGACAUAGAGAUACAGCACCUGAAAAGACCCAAAAAACCUGUUCAAAAAUUUUCCCCGGAAGAUACAUCUGAUGAAGAAAAUCAGCGAUCAGAUAAGACAGAUAGGAAAAGGCCAAAGAAAUCCGUAAGUUCUAAACCCAGCCAGGAUUCUGACAAGAAUGAACGCCAGGAACCUGCUCCUACUAUUUAUGCUUCGCCUGCAGAUGUUAGUGGUACAAUACCUUUUAAUGCCUCAAACGCUUCCAGUCAUUUUGAACUUCGCCCUAAUGCUUCUUCUGAGAAUUUUAGCAAAUCGCCUGAUACUCCAAACCUUUAUGAUAGUAGCUCUAAUGCACACUUUGUAGGUGCUUCAAGCAACUUCGAAUCUCACUUUGCCUUUGCUCGCAGUGAUGGUGAAGCACGUGAUCCAUCGCUAUCCUCUGGGCGAGAUUUUUCAAGGACUCUACAAUACCUCAAAUCUGCUGUAGAAAGCAAUGGGAGACUACUGGAAAAAAUUCUGGAGAAAGUAGAGAAGCUAGAAAUUGGGGCAAGUAGCGAAGCUGCCGUUAAAACUAACUCAGCGGAAAGCAACAUUGAUGAAAUGCUUCCGUGUAAAACAUAUCAAGAUGUAUUGAAAGUGGAAGAGACUAUAAUCAAGUCGACUGAUGCACUGAAUAAAUUGACGAAAAUUCUUCAACUUGUCGGAGGUUCGGAGACCAAGACGCUACUACAUAACAUGGUCCGAAAAAUUGUGGUGGAUGAAGUAGCACAGCUGUACAGUUUCAAAGGGGCUGUUGCAGGGAAGAAAUCGUUUCAAAAUCUAAAAAUGUAUAAAGUUUUAAAAGGAGUUAUUCAGAAACAGAAAGCAGAUGCCACUGACGACUAUCUGAAAGACGUAAUUGGAGAUUGGCUGACACAAGCUAAAUUUCGUGUUAAAAGAAGGCUUGAUCGAGCAGCCAAGAAAGUCAACAAUCCUGGUAAAGGCGUGGUUAUUGUAACUAACCAAGUCACCAAUGACCUUGAAGAACCUGGUGUUACUUUAGAAGAUGUAGGACCAGAUGAAAAUCAAGAGGAAAAUCUAGAGAAACAUAAAGAGAGAGAUGAGUUAGAUGAAAAUAUCUAACCAAUUAUGAUGUCUACCAUCUACUUAAAAUAUCCACUACUAUCCAUAGUAAUGUCUGCUGAUACUGUUGUUUUAUCAGAGAGUUGGAUAAUGCUGUUUAGCUCCGUACAUAUUCAUAUGAAUAUUUGUACGUACUUAUGAAUAUUUAUACAGUACAUACCUAAUAUUUAUACGUACGUAAUAUUUAUACGUGUACUCUUAUUCCUUGAGGCUAUUGUUUUUGUGAUUUCUCUUUUGGUAAUUUUUUUACCUUAAUAUUAUUUAGUUUUCUUUUGUUUGCUUUUUUACGGGCGAAUACAUUAGUAAAUUGUAAUCCUGUUUUGCAGCCGCCAAAUUUGACUGAGUUUUCAGCUUCUUCCUUUUUGUAUUUUAUUGAGGAAAUUCAAGAGAGCGAUGAGUUAGAUGAAAAUAUUUAAACAAUUCCGAGAUCUAUCAUCUACGAAUAAUAUUCACUGUAGUAUCCAUAAUAAUGUCUUCUGACAUUUGUUGUUUUUUCAAAGAGCGGAAUGGUUUUGUUUAGCUCCUUAUAUAUUUAUAUGAAUUUUUACACGUGCAUACUUGUGCACUUUUAUUCCUUGAGCCUACUGAUUUUUGUGAUUUCUCUUUGGGUAAUUAUUUUACCUUCAUAUUAUUUAGUUUUCUUUUGUCAUUGAGGAAUAAUAAUUUUUAUUUUUCGCGGGCCAAUACAUUAAUAAUUGUAACCCUGUUUAGCAGCCGCCAAUUUUUGACUGAGUUUUCAGCUUCUUCCUUUUUGUACUUUAUUUUGAGUUGCAUUUCACGAUACACAAGAUGUUAUUGUAAAUCCUUUGACUUAAUUUUUCUUAUUUUCCAGUCAAGUUUGUUGACAACAGAAAAUUAGUUUACACCUAGAACGAUAAUUAGACUGAGCUUAGCAA
This 2936-nucleotide long non-coding RNA is filed under the name Bemisia tabaci. RNAcentral's name for it is "lncRNA ENSSSA1NGG014299". The record is from RNAcentral. Lineage: Eukaryota; Metazoa; Arthropoda; Insecta; Hemiptera; Aleyrodidae.